UACAGAGGUCUCAAGCGUUGUUCGGAUUCAUUGGGCGUAAAGCGUGCGUAGGCGGUUCGUUAAGUUCGUUGUGAAAGCCCCGGGCUCAACCUGGGAAUGGCAAUGGAAACUGGCGGGCUGGAGUAUGGCAGAGGGGGGUGGAAUUCCGCGUGUAGCAGUGAAAUGCGUAGAGAUGCGGAGGAACACCGAUGGCGAAGGCAGCCCCCUGGGCCAAUACUGACGCUCAGGCACGAAAGCGUGGGGAGCAAACAGG
Molecule: ribosomal RNA, 253 nt
Filed under: uncultured bacterium
Lineage: Bacteria
Description: partial 16S ribosomal RNA
Rfam family: Bacterial small subunit ribosomal RNA
Source: RNAcentral